AAAGGGGCCAUGCUCUCUAAACCCCAAAGGGGUGACAAUAGUAUGGUCAGCAGCAGUGCUUCCACAUUGCCCUACCGAUGUACCUCAACCCUAGACUAGCAGGACCUCCUUUAGGAGUAACCAGCUAUUUAGUCACCGUGUCCCUUUUGCUUCUCUAUU
Molecule: small RNA, 159 nt
Filed under: Chrysemys picta bellii (western painted turtle)
Lineage: Eukaryota; Metazoa; Chordata; Testudines; Emydidae
Description: TUC338 (ENSCPBG00000018561.1)
Source: RNAcentral